Molecule: microRNA precursor, 139 nt
Filed under: Myotis davidii
Lineage: Eukaryota; Metazoa; Chordata; Mammalia; Chiroptera; Vespertilionidae
Description: mir-9193 microRNA precursor family
Rfam family: mir-9193 microRNA precursor family
Source: Rfam by way of RNAcentral
UAUGCACUGGUGGGGUCCCUCGGCCUGGCCUGUGCCCUCUCGCAAUCCAGAACCCCAAUCCGGGACCCCUCAGGGGAUGUCAGAGAGCCGGUUUUGGCCCAAUCCCACAGGCCAGGCUGAGGGACCCCACCAGUACACA